Long non-coding RNA from Corapipo altera (White-ruffed manakin), 258 nucleotides. RefSeq lists it as uncharacterized. The record is from RefSeq and is a predicted model, not a curated record. The transcript is spliced from 3 exons. NCBI's taxonomy places the organism in Eukaryota, Metazoa, Chordata, Aves, Passeriformes, Pipridae.
GAUGAGAGGUGAGAGCUGCCCCGGCCCUGCUCAACUCCAGUGUCUGGGCUGUCCCAGUCCCAGAAACAAAGGAGAGUCUGCACAAGGAGGUUGUGGGGUUUAAUCGCAACUUAAACCAGGCUUUGUGGCUGGGAGAACUGCACGAGUUUAACGUCAUCUGGAGGAAGGGCUCUGCCUGAAUUUCCAAAGCAGGGUGUGUCCGUGGCCCAAUGGAGUCUCUUUGCCAGCCUUGGCCAUGGGCAUUAUUUGUCCUGCUGG